UAAGAUUUUCCUGGAGAGGAGGGGGAAGAUGAUGGUGUAGGAGGACACUAGGCUCACUGCAUCCUGCUAGUCACUUAGAUUCCACCUACACCUGCCUAAAUAACCCAGAAAACCACCAGAAGACUAGCAGAAUGGAGUCUCCAGAGCCAAGCGCAGAUGAGAGGCCCACGGAAGAGGGUA
Prionailurus viverrinus (fishing cat) is the source of this 180-nucleotide long non-coding RNA. RefSeq lists it as uncharacterized. The transcript has 3 exons. NCBI's taxonomy places the organism in Eukaryota, Metazoa, Chordata, Mammalia, Carnivora, Felidae. The record is from RefSeq and is a predicted model, not a curated record.